UACGAAGGGUGCAAACGUUGCUCGGAAUUAUUGGGCGUAAAGCGCACGUAGGCGGCUUGGCAAGUCGGAUGUGAAAGCCCCCGGCUCAACCGGGGAAGUGCAUCUGAAACUGGCGGGCUAGAGUACGAAAGAGGGUCGCGGAAUUCCCGGUGUAGAGGUGAAAUUCGUAGAUAUCGGGAGGAACACCGGUGGCGAAGGCGGCGACCUGGGUCGAUACUGACGCUGAGGUGCGAAAGCGUGGGGAGCAAACAGG
This 253-nucleotide ribosomal RNA is filed under the name uncultured bacterium. Its description in RNAcentral is "partial 16S ribosomal RNA". It matches the Rfam family "Bacterial small subunit ribosomal RNA", at positions 524 to 776 of the family's 1533-position model. The record is from RNAcentral.